GGGCGAAUGGUGGAACUGGUAGACGCGUUGGACUCAAAAUCCAAUGGUAGCAAUACCUUGAGAGUUCGAGUCUCUCUUCGCCCACCA
RNAcentral lists this transfer RNA (87 nucleotides) under Candidatus Pelagibacteraceae bacterium. RNAcentral describes it as "tRNA-Leu". It matches the Rfam family "tRNA". Rfam says of the family: Transfer RNA (tRNA) molecules are approximately 80 nucleotides in length. Their secondary structure includes four short double-helical elements and three loops (D, anti-codon, and T loops). Lineage: Bacteria; Pseudomonadati; Pseudomonadota; Alphaproteobacteria; Candidatus Pelagibacterales; Candidatus Pelagibacteraceae. The record is from RNAcentral.